This 2828-nucleotide long non-coding RNA is filed under the name Brachypodium distachyon (stiff brome). RNAcentral's name for it is "long non-coding RNA (BDIS_LNC004654)". Lineage: Eukaryota; Viridiplantae; Streptophyta; Magnoliopsida; Poales; Poaceae. The record is from RNAcentral.
CGGGGAGGCGGCGUGGCAGGGGCCGCGAGCGGCGGCGGCGCGCCCGCGCGAGACGGUGGGGGCGGCGCAGGGGACCGCGGGCGGUGGGGCGGCGCCGCGCCGAGGCUGCCUGAGGUGGCGCACGGCAAAGGCGGGGGAGGCGCGCGGGGGCUGCGCGCGGCAGAGGCGGAGGAGGCACGCGGAGGCUGCGCGCGGCAGAGGCGGGCGAGGUGCAUCGAGGCAGAGCGCGACGCGAUUCCGGCGUGCUUCUCCGCUCCCGCUCUUCCUCCUUCUACUGCGUCAUUCCCGCCGGUGAGUCUCCUAUUUCUUCGCCGGCCCCCAAUUUCUGCGAGCUCUCUGGUUGAAUUUUGGCAAAUCAGUGCUAUGUGCUCUACGAUUUGUUGGUUGUUUCCUGCGAUUUCCUGGACAUGCACAGCGUAUGGUGGGGCUGCACCGCUGCGACAUCUUGUGAGUUUGGCGGUACUUCAGGUAAUUUGGCGGGGUGCAGCAGCAUGUGGGUUUUGCGAUGGUUGACAUGCACAGCACCUUGUUCAUGCACAGCGAUUUGGGCUAGGGUUUGACAUUUGCAGGCGUACUGGAUAGUGUGUUUGACGUUGUGCUUGGCUGUGGGUGGGGUGGGGUGUGCUGUGUGCUUGGUGACAUGGGGAUUGAUCUCAGCUUGUGGGUUUAUACUAGGUUUGAUGCAAUUCACCCGCUGCUAAAAUAGUCGAUGUCUAUUUUCUUUUUCAUGAGACGAGCUCCUGGUCAUGGUAAGUUUUGGUUUAGCCAGCUACUUUUGUACAUUAAUUUAGGUGUUUUGAAAUACCUGGUAGUCGUCAACACAGACCCUGAUAAUUUUAAUAGGAAUUUCUGUACCGAACAGCCUAGUAGUUGUUACCAUACAACCUUGUAAAGAACCUAGUACCUAUUUGGAAAAAGCAUGGUAGCUAAUUAUAAAGAACAUGAUAGCUAUUUUCAAAGAACUUGGCAACUAUUUUUGUAAAGAACAUAGUUAAUUGGAAAGAACAUGGCAAUUGUUUGUAAAGGACCUGGCAAUUAUUUGUAAAGAAUCUGUUAGGUGUUUAAAAUGAACCUGGCAAUUGUUUGCGGAGAAUCUUGUAGGUGAUUGGAAAGAGCCUGGUAGCGCUGAUUGGAACCUAGUAGCUAUAGGGGGAAAAUUGAUAAUGUACAUAUAGGAAACCAGGACAGUUCAUUGUCAAGAUCAUAGCAGUUGUUAUAGUGUUUUGUAUAGACCCUGGCAACUGUUUUUAUAAAACCUGGCAACUGUUUGUAAAGAACCUGGUAGUUGUUUUUUGUAAAGAACAUGUGAAUUUGUUUUUUGGAAAGAACCUGGCAACCUGGCAAUUGUCUGUAGAAAACGUGGCAAUUGUUUGCAGAAAACGUGGCAAUUGUUUGUAGAAAACCUGGCAAUUUGAUUUCUAAAUAGCCUGGCAAUUUAUUUUCUAAAUAACCUGGCUACUGUUUGUAAAUAACGUGGCAACUAUUUGUAUAAAACUUGGCAACUGUUUGUAAAGAACCUGGUAGUUGUUUUUGAAAAGAACCUGUCAAUUUGUUUUUUUUAAGAACCUGGCAACUGUUUAUAAAGAACCUGGUAAUUGUUUGCAGAAAACAUGGCAAUUGUUUGUAGAAAACCUGGCAAUUUGGGGUGCGUUUGGUUCCGUCUCCUAGCAAGGCUAUUGCUGAGCUAGUCUAGCUGCUCAACUCGCAUUGGUUAAGGUCGUUUGUAGCUCUGCGUUUGGUUUGACUUGAUUGCCCGUGUGAGCUCCUAGGGAGAUCGUGGGUUGCGCAAUAUUCAGUAGAGGUUUUUGUUCGCACAAAGACAUCUUGCCAUCGAGGGAGAACCAAUUUGGUUCUCCCUUACGAGCAAGGUUUUUCUGGCCCGCACCGGCUAACUCUUCGUCAAAAGCUAGAAAUUAUUUUGGACACCAAACACCAAACCUGGCUUAGAAAGGCUAUAACUGUUUUUGCUCUGGAACCAAACUGACCCUUGGUUUCUAAAUAACCUGGCAACUGUUUGGGCAAUUGUUUGUAGAAACCUGGCAAUCUGAUUUUAAAUAAUUUGGCAAUUUGUUUUCUAAAGAACCUACAAUUUGUCUGUAAGAAUCUGGCAAUUGUUUGUACAGUUCAUUUCUUUUCGUUUUCUUUUAUUGUCAUUAAUAGUGAGAUAUAUAUGCUUUCAUAUGCGUUUCUCAACGUGAAUGGCCGUUGAUCAGUUUUGUUGCCAAGGAAGUGAUGUUCCUAACUUGUUGGGUCAAGAAAAGCUGCUAGGCAUCGAUGGCCAGUAAAUGUCUAUGGGAGAAGGUAACCGGUGAUCUAGAUCAACAACCUCGACAAUAUACAUAUGGCGGAGGUGAUGGAGAUGAAUAAGAUUCUCGAGGCAAUAAAGAGUUCAAAGAAAUGGGUUUCGUUUGCCCCCAUAAAAUGUUCAUUUGCAAAUUUGUAUAUUUGGCUUCAUGAUGCCUGAGAAAGUGGUGCUGCAAUUUUUAGCUGUGAAGGCUAAAUUUUUGAUGGGUUUGGAAGAUGCUGUUUUAUUGGUUUUGCUAGAGGAAGUGAUGGUGCUGUCUAUACACAUGUGUGCCUGUGUGAAUGUAUGAGUCUACUUUUGUUGUUGGGAAAAAAUGGACCUGUUUGAAAAAUAAAUUUAUGAGAAAGCUGUGUAUGCAAGGACGAGUUUAAAAUGCUUAAGGGGAUUCCCGUUGCUGUGCUGUUGCUUACGCGCAAGUCCGCACGGCAAGCUGUAGCCUGGUUGGCACGCCGCUGCUUAGCACUAGGUGGGGCACGCCGCUGCGUAGUACUGUCCUUCUUUCACUGCACAAGUUUUGUCUCCU